AUGUUCCUCUCCCGCAUCGUCCUGCGCGACCUGGACUCCAUCGACUCCCCCGCCUCCAUGGCGACCUCCAAGAAGGUGGUGACGCGCGACGAGUGGGAGCGCAAGCUCCGCGACGUUAAGAUCCGCAAGGAGGACAUGAACCGCCUCGUCAUGAACUUCCUCGUCACCGAGGGCUUCGUCGACGCCGCCGACAAGUUCCGCGUCGAGUCCGGCACCCAACCGGACAUCGACCUGGCCACCAUCACGGAUCGGAUGGAGGUCAAAAAAGCGGUUCAGUCAGGGAAUGUUCAGGAGGCAAUCGAGAAGAUCAACGAUCUCAACCCCACGAUUCUGGAUACAAAUCCUGAAUUAUACUUCCAUCUACAGCAGCAAAAGUUAAUAGAGUUGAUUCGUAUGGGGAAAAUAAACGAAGCUUUGGAGUUUGCUCAAGAAGAACUUGCACCAAGAGGCGAAGAAAAUCAAGCAUUUCUCGAGGAAAUAGAGAAAACUGUGGCACUGUUGGUUUUUGAAGAUGUAAAAAACUGCCCAUAUGGUGAACUGUUGGACGUUUCUCAACGCUUAAAGACGGCAAGUGAAGUUAAUGCUGCCAUUCUCACAAGCCAAAGUCACGAGAAAGAUCCAAAGCUCCCCAGUCUGUUGAAGAUGUUGAUUUGGACUCAAAACCAGCUGAACGAAAAGGCAGCAUAUCCCCGAAUCAAUAACCUGUCCACCGCCGCACUGGAAGAUCCAGCUAUAUGA
Molecule: ribosomal RNA, 738 nt
Filed under: Triticum aestivum (bread wheat)
Lineage: Eukaryota; Viridiplantae; Streptophyta; Magnoliopsida; Poales; Poaceae
Description: partial small subunit ribosomal RNA
Source: RNAcentral